AUCCUCCGUCUUCUCCGAUAUGUCAAAUCGGAUCAUUCCUGGUACAAUCAAACAUCCUACGGGCUGUCGUCAAUGAACCCUUUACAAUGACAUGUUUCAGCAGAAGCAACCCUCCUCCUUCAUGGUAUACAUGGAUACUCCUAUAUGGUAUAAAACUGAAUGGUGCUCAACUUUCCAUUCAAAGCAUGCAGACAAGCGAUAGUUUUCAAUACAUACUUGACGUGGUCAAUGAAAUGAAUGCAACGUUCGCACGGGAUGUUGUUAACGGGUAUAUAACCGACUCGUACACAUUUGGAAUUUUAUAUCCAGUGACAAAUAUCUUCUAUCGUGAGCAAACUGAUCAAUACAUAACAAUUUCAACUAUAACCGUUAUUAGAGGUCGAAUGGUCAGAUUGGGAUGCAAUGCCUUUUCAAAUCCCGCAGCGCGUUUUUCAUGGGUAUUAAGUGGUGUUGUAGUUGCAAACGGCACUACUUGGAAUACUAAUUUCGUCGACAACACUGUCAUUGUGUGCAUUGCAACUAAUACACUCGACCCGACUGGGAUAAAAGCGAGGAUCACUUCAAGAUCUUGGAAUGUUUCCAUCGAUGUAUUAUAUGCUCCUGAGACGCCACAAUUCACUUUUCAAACUUGUGCAACGUAUUCUCAAACGAAUCAUAUGUGAUGAUCCGAGGUCAUUCCGUCUCUGGCAGAUGUACUUCGAAGAGUGAACCGGGCUCAAAGUUUUUAUGGACAACGGCCAAUAGUGGCAUUGGGGAAUGUUUCUUUAUCAACAACGUCAGUAGACAACACAGUGGCAAUUACACGUGCAUUGCAAAUAAUGAAAUGAACACAAAGUUUGGUGGGAUUAUCAAUGGAACAAAUGAGUCCAGUUUUUAUCUAAACGUCUAAGCACCAGCUGAUGCUCUGUUCAUUGGUAAUGUAACGGUUUCAUUGAACACAACGUUAUCAGUCACCUGCCCAUACACGAUUGGAAACUCAGCGGAGACGAGAUUCACGUGGUUCCGCGGAAAUACUUCAGCUAUUGGAUCUCAUCAAAAUCUGUCUCUGUCCAAUGUGCAGCUCUUAGGCGAAGGAUACUAUAAAUGCAGAGUCAACAACACUAUGGACCCUACGGGAUGUGCCACUCAGGAGGCAUACGAUGAAACAACAUUUUACGUGGAUGUGCAGUGUUCACCAAGACCUUCACCAUUUGCUCCACCGAUUCCCGUAGUAUAUUGAAGAAGUGCAUCAGCUAUUUUAACGUUCACUAUCGUGGCUUAUCCUCCCACAAAUGACGUAUCAGCAUAUGUUUGGCGUAAGCAGGUAGAUGGUGAAUGGGCAACACUGCACAAUAACAGCAGGUUCCAAAUUCGCACAUCAAACGACAAUCUGCAGACGAACCUUUCCAUAUCACAACUGCAAAUUGACGGUUUUACAAACUAUUCGAUCCGUGUUAACAAUCCUUUCGGAUCUACAGAGCAAAUAUUUGUCAUCCGAGCGAAUGAGCAGCCCUCUAUGCCACAACAACUUCUUGUCGUCGACGCCAUGGUGACUGAACGUUCAGUCACAGUCCAAUGGACACCUGGAUUUAAUGCCGGUGAAGACCAAUGGUUCAUGAUCGGUUACAAACAUGCAGGAGAUGAAACCUGGACUUACAUGAACGUAUCUUCAACAGUUAGUCAACUGAGUAUUGGGGAAUUAGUUCCGGGCACCAAGUAUGACGUAAAAAUGUAUGCAGAGAAUAUCACGGACAAUCUGGUGAGACUACUGUGUUAAGUGUGACAACACAGUCUUCAAAUAACGGAUCCUCUCCACGUGUCGGAGCUGCAAUAGGUGGUGCUGUAGGCGGAACUCUUGCGGUAGUCAUUUUCGUGGUGCUGUGGAAAUAUAAGAACGCGUUUAAACUUAUUAUUUCAGAGACGGAUAUGUAUCAUUAUACUACGAACAUACACUAGAAAUGAAGUGUAAACCUGGUGAAGGUGCUCAUUACACUGACCUGUUCAAUAGACAAGUUGAUGUCCCUCCUGCCAAUGCCAGGUCCGAAUAUGAAGCCUACCGAGUCGAAGCCCAGCAAACAAACCAGUACGAGACACUUGCGGAAACUUCUUUUCAUGGAUAUUCGGUUUUAUCACCUGGUGUAAAACAUGAUUUUAGUGUUAUGAACCGUGUAAAUCAAGUUACUGAAACUGAUCGUGCAAUCGUAAAUCAGGACAAUGCCUAUGUUACUUUGUCGUUUUCAGAUUGUUAAUUGUAAGUAUGUGUUGAAUGUGCAUUGUGUUGAUACAAGCAAUAUUUGAAUUUAGAUUGUUUAAUAUUUUUAUUCAUACUGAAACAAAAAGGGAUAAAUUUAAUUGACCAUAAGCAUAGAUGUAUUUAAUUUUCCGAUAAGAAUGCAGCUUUUAAAUUCAACUUAUCAACGCGUGUUAUUAUCAUACCGCUUUACGUUGAUGAAAUAACGACUUUAUUCUUACAGAUAUGAACAUAGAAAAUAUCUAAUAGUUUAAUAAUAAGUUUAUGAUUUUAAGUGGAAUAUUUAACGAAUCAAGUGAUUAUAACUGUAACAGAUAAUACACUAUUUAAUUACCUAUAGUAAACAUAUGUAUGACGAAAAUCCGUUACAUAAUAAAAGCGUUUACCAAUUAAAGGGAUACAACUCAAAUAUAUUUUACACUAAUGUUAUUGAUAUCGUUAUGCUAUUAUUUUCGUAAAACAAUAUGAAUAUACACAAACGAUAUGUAUUACAUCAUUAACAUUAUUUGAAAGAUAUUACUAGAUAUAUGGUGGUUAUUUGAAUUAAUUAAACACCUUUUGAAUCAUAUCUUAAACUAAAGAUCGUUCGUAGCACAUUAUUAAUGUACAUGUGUUUGUUACAAGUGUUAUUUAGGGACACUGUAAUGUGUUUUUAGUAUGAGAAUGUUGUGCAUAUAAAACAAUUAUUUAUCGAUCAUAGAGAUUGUAUUUUUGCGAGAGAGUUUUACACUAAAUGAAAUGAGCAGUUUCCAUUAAUUAACUACAGACACAAAAAGUAAAACAAAAUCAACAGUUCAACGUGCAGCUUGUGUUUGGAAACUAUUCAAGCACCAGUGACAAUUUGAUGACGUAAACAUAUGAACCAUGUAAAAUAAAAAUACUAUUCAAAAUGUAUUGUGUUAAUUUAAUAUGUAGUGUUUGUUUUGCAUGCUUUCGUUUUAAGUAAUUGUUAACAAAUGGUUUAUUGACUGAAUAAUCAAUUAUCUUUUAAACUUUGUUCUUAAUGUACAUGUAAUAAUGUCAACACCACCAGUAUUAUGCUACUCGAUCAAGUCGUCAUGAAAUCUGAUGAGCAAUCACUUCAACCUUUGAUUGAAUAAUAUAUCACCAUUUUUUCGAUAAUUUAGACGGUCCUCGAUCUCGUGAGGGAAUCGUUAUAUAAAAAAACCCGCUAAAUAUGUUAUUUUCUUUGGGUGACAUUGAGCCAUUCAAAUGCCUUAACACCGGUUAGUGCCAUACUUUGGCUCUCACA
Molecule: long non-coding RNA, 3482 nt
Organism: Dreissena polymorpha
Lineage: Eukaryota; Metazoa; Mollusca; Bivalvia; Myida; Dreissenidae
Exons: 11
Source: RefSeq, a predicted model, not a curated record